AAUCACGUGACAAAUCCAGCUGUUUAACUAUGGUAGCUGCUCCACUGCUCCAUAUAUUGGAAGAGCUCAAAAGGUGAAAAAAAAAUAAACACCUCAAAAAUCAAACACUGUUAAAAUGGUAGAACUGGUCUGGGAUCAAGGUAGCUAGAACAAGUAGCUAUACAUCAACAUAGACUAGAAAUGAUGCUUGUUACUUCAGGGAGAAGAGUUUAUCCUAAGAAGACCGGGAAUUGUGGAAAAGAAUCUACGUGUGCAGCAUUUCAAACUUAUAUCAAAAAGUAA
RNAcentral lists this long non-coding RNA (282 nucleotides) under Numida meleagris (helmeted guineafowl). RNAcentral's name for it is "lncRNA (ENSNMEG00000021645.1)". Lineage: Eukaryota; Metazoa; Chordata; Aves; Galliformes; Numididae. The record is from RNAcentral.